UAGAGUGUAGCUCAAGGGUAGAGCACUUGACUAGUAUGUCAAGGCCCUGAGUUCUACCCUCAGCACUACAA
RNAcentral lists this transfer RNA (71 nucleotides) under Cricetulus griseus (Chinese hamster). It matches the Rfam family "tRNA". From Rfam's summary of the family: Transfer RNA (tRNA) molecules are approximately 80 nucleotides in length. Their secondary structure includes four short double-helical elements and three loops (D, anti-codon, and T loops). Lineage: Eukaryota; Metazoa; Chordata; Mammalia; Rodentia; Cricetidae. The record is from Rfam by way of RNAcentral.